GCUGGAGUGCAGUGGCGUGAUCUCGGCUCGCUACAACCUCCACCUUCCAGCCGCCUGCCUUGGCCUCCCAAAGUGCCGAGAUUGCAGCCUCUGCCCGGCCGCCACCCCGUCUGGGAAGUGAGGAGCGUCUCUGCCUGGCCGCCAUCACAUCUAGGAAGUGAGGAGCCUCUCUGCCCGGCCGCCAUCCCAUCUGGGAAGUGAGGAGCGCCUCUUCCGGCCGCCAUCACAUCUAGGAAGUGAGGAGCGUCUCUGCCCGGCCGCCCAUCGUCUGGGAUGUGGGGAGCGCCUCUGCCCCGCCGCCCCGUCUGGGAUGUGAGGAGCGCCCCUGCCCGGCUGCCACCCCGUCUGGGAGCCAGCUACUUUUCAUGAGGAUACUCAAGCAUUCCUAUGGAGAGAUCCACAUGGUGAGAAACUGAAGCCUCCUACCAAGAGCCAGCACCAACUUGCCAGCUAUGUGAAUGAGCCAUCUUAGAAGUGGGUUCUCUAGCCCUAGUCAGGCCUUCAUAUGACUGCAGCCAGGGCUGAUAUUUUGACUACAACCUCAUGAGAGACUGAGCCACAACAACCUAGCUAAGAAGCUCCUGAAUUCCCUACCAACAGAAACUAUGUGAGAUAAUGUUUGUUGUUUUAACUAAGUUUUCAAGUGGUAAUUUGUUAUACAGAAUAUGUAACUAAUAAAGCAUGGCUCCUUUAGGUCUAAAUGUUGUCUUUUGCUUACAUGAUACCCCAGAAGCACAGGAAUCCUGCUGUUUCAUGAAGCACUUGAGUAUGGAAAUUCUUGUGAGGUUGCCUCUGUCCCUGUUUGCCCCAACACACCAUGUAGUUAUUCCUUCACUGGACUUGCACCUUUCUACCAGUCUCUGCUCAGGAAGCAAAGCCUAAGUUUCCUCUUUUCCUAGAAAUACAGACCUAUUUGUAGACCUCCUGUUCUUCAUCUUCAGCCUGCAGAUAUUUUGUUUUUAUCUUGGGGAAAUUCUCCUCAUUUUUGGCCAUGAUACUUUGUACUUGAAUCUUCUCAACCUCUCCAGGACUUUCGGAAAUAAAAGGCAGAAAACUUACAAGCUUGUCUUCUUUCUACCAUGUUGUAAUGCCUCCCCUGAGACAGUGAACAAAAGGCUAGCUCUUUGAAUUUUGUGAGAUGUAGAAAGAAAGGGGAAAAUGAAGGGAGAAAAAAUGUGAAUAUCUCAAAAUACCAUCCUACCAGAAUUAUCAAUAUGUGAUGAGUGCUUACUGUGUGCCAGAUACUAUACCAAAUGCUUUACAUAUUUUUUCUCAUUAAGUACUAUUAUCAAGCUUAUUUUACAAACAAGAUGAUCAGAUUUAGAGAGAUUAAGUAAGUUGCCUGAAGUUUCACUGUUUCUAGAUGGUAAUGCUGAAAUUCUACCAGGAAUCUCUGACUCCCAGCUCCAACUUUUGACCAUUAGCAUGCAAGUUCUUUCCAUGUGGUUGGGGAGGGAAGAAGGUUGGUCUAAGGGUGCUUUCCUUUGGCUUCAUUUCUUCACAUAAAUGAGGAUGCCAAUCAUACCUAAGACUUGUCUGUCAUUAAUACAUUUCUGACAGUGGCUUCCACUUGGCAACACUUUGUAGGCGAGUGGACCUACUCUGUA
RNAcentral lists this long non-coding RNA (1607 nucleotides) under Homo sapiens (human). RNAcentral describes it as "HSALNT0341651". The record is from RNAcentral. Lineage: Eukaryota; Metazoa; Chordata; Mammalia; Primates; Hominidae.